UACGUAGGGGGCAAGCGUUGUCCGGAUUUACUGGGCGUAAAGAGCGUGUAGGCGGCCACGCAGGUCCGUUGUGAAAACUGGAGGCUCAACCUCCAGCUGUCGACGGAAACCGUAUGGCUAGAGUCCGGAAGAGGAGAGUGGAAUUCCUGGUGUAGCGGUGAAAUGCGCAGAUAUCAGGAAGAACACCAAUGGCGAAGGCAGCUCUCUGAGACGGUACUGACGCUGAGACGCGAAAGCGUGGGGAGCGAACAGG
This 253-nucleotide ribosomal RNA is filed under the name uncultured bacterium. RNAcentral describes it as "partial 16S ribosomal RNA". It matches the Rfam family "Bacterial small subunit ribosomal RNA", at positions 524 to 776 of the family's 1533-position model. The record is from RNAcentral.